AGUCACUGACAUUAGAUACCCGCGUAGUCCAGGGUGUAAACGCUGCGGGCUUGGUGUUGGGGGUCCUUUGAGGGCGCCCAGUGCCGGAGAGAAGUUGUUAAGCCUGCUGCUUGGGAGUACGUCCGCAAGGAUGAAACUUAAAGGGAUUGGCGGGGGAGCACCGCAACGGGAGGAGCGUGCGGUUCAAUUGGAUUCAACGCCGGACAACUCACCAGGAGCGACGGUUACAUGAAGGCCAGGCUGAUGACCUUGCCUGAUUUUCCG
This 264-nucleotide ribosomal RNA is filed under the name uncultured archaeon. RNAcentral describes it as "partial 16S ribosomal RNA". It matches the Rfam family "Archaeal small subunit ribosomal RNA", at positions 716 to 982 of the family's 1478-position model. The record is from RNAcentral.